AAGGCUAUGAUGCUCUGUCUAGCGUCAGAAAGAAGAAACGUUUAAAAGAAACAUAAUAAAACUUAAAAGUUUAAAGCAAUGUUCGCUCUAGCUCGUUAUCAGUUAACACUUAAUUGAAAGAUCCAACAAACAAAGGCAAAUAAUUUGAUACUCACGUAAUAUUCUCCCCUCCAAAUUUAUAUCUCGUCUUCACCAAAAAAAGCCACCACCCGCAGCACCACACAAAACAACAGACGAAAUCCCCAAGGUGAUAAUGGACGUCAGUCCAAUUGGCAAUUUCUACAGUGAGGAGAAGGAAGAGCUCUUGACAUUCGUUUAUGUGCCUUGUCUAUGGCAUCUGUUAGUGAUUCCAGACGUUUAAGCACCCGGACAACAGCACUUGGGCUUGGACAGUGGAUUGCGCUGAAAGGAAAAAUACGUGUUGGUAAGCUUGUUCCUGGCUCAUUUGAUCCUCACUCUAGAUACUGGCCAUCUAAUUAAAUAGGUCCAAUUAAAUAAGACUUCACCCAAAACAAAAAGGGAAUUAUCUUACUAGAAAACUUGGUGCAGAAGUAGGGCCUAGUUGAUUGAUAAUUCUGGAUAUGUGAGAUGAGGGUUUUGAUGGUUGUAUGUUGUAUGAUGUUCAAGCUGUUAAUGUAGAUGCUGCCCAAUGAGGAGAUGGUGAUAACUGUGCUUAAAGCUGCUACUGUCCUUGGUGGAAUAUAUUAAUGUGUUGUUCAUCUGUCAUGUCAUAUCCAUGCAACAUAUUAUAAGGAUAACGAAACGUAAGUAUGAACAAUAAAUAGAAGAUUCUCAAUG
Molecule: long non-coding RNA, 798 nt
Filed under: Daphnia pulex (common water flea)
Lineage: Eukaryota; Metazoa; Arthropoda; Branchiopoda; Diplostraca; Daphniidae
Description: uncharacterized LOC124199892, transcript variant X2
Source: RNAcentral